Molecule: long non-coding RNA, 1067 nt
Organism: Dermacentor andersoni
Lineage: Eukaryota; Metazoa; Arthropoda; Arachnida; Ixodida; Ixodidae
Source: RefSeq, a predicted model, not a curated record
GGAUUCUGCGCAAGGUACACUGAAGUGAUUGACUGCAGAGUGUCGUUUCAACACUGUCCCACUUGGUCACAGUUGCCGUGUCACAUUUCUCGGAUGUGGCGGCCCGGUCAGUUGCAGUGGGAAGCAGUCUCUCGAGGGCUAUGCGGAUUCUGGAGGCAUCCCUUGACCCCGCCGGAACCUGCUGCACUGCUGAAAGCUGGUCAGCACAACGAUAAAGCACAUGACCUGCAUGCUUUCAGAAAGAUGCGUACAAAACUCUCUACCUUCUUGCAUGCUCUGCUGAUGCAAGCCAUCGUACGUGCCUUUUGACUUCGUACCGUACCUGGGGAAGCGCUGCAAGGAGUGCCACGCCGGAAGCCCCGAUCAUCUCGCUUCGCCGUUUCCACGAUCUUUGCCAAGCGCAUGGCAAGCUCCUUGGCGAUCAUUUGGCAGCGGUGGCAGCUCGUGGGAACACCUACUAAUCGUUGAAUCCUCCUUGUUACAGAGAUCUUGUACAGCCCUGAAUGAUGCUCACUCAGUCAAGUUCAACGCCAUUAUUUCAGUCUGUAAGAUAGUUUCAGCCUGACACUCCAUCUGGCAUACCCUUCCGACACCUUACUCAUCCAAGCCACUAGCAUGGUGGACCUCGGCGAAGGAAUCCUCCUUGAUGAGGCCACGCUGGCACGACUGCGGCGAGAUGCAAAAAAACUAAGGCUCAAGAUUUGCACGGGGCCUCCUGAAGGUUCUUUUCAGCGCAGAAGAGUUGGAGCACAAGUCUCUAUUUGGGCGGCGUUCCAAUGCCCACAAGGAUGUCGCCCGAAAAGAGGCUUUGGGCCCAAGGCGCGUGAACGCCAUUCUGAGUAUGUGGGACAACGCAGACAACUAAAAUGUUUGCUUUAAUUCGUAAUUUGAAGUUAAAAUCUUGUGGAUCACUCCUUUGUGCUGUCCUGCCCAGGUACACUAACAGAGACAUAAGGCUAAACUAACUCCUUUUACUUUUUCUCUUCACUUCGACGUUGCAGAGAUCAAAAACACGUUGUCAUCGGUGCUUGCCUGCGGGUUUUGAAAUGUGCUAAAUAAAUGUUAGU